UACAGAGGGGGCAAGCGUUGUUCGGAAUUACUGGGCGUAAAGGGCGCGUAGGCGGCCUGCUAAGUCGAACGUGAAAUCCCCGGGCUCAACCCGGGAACUGCGUCCGAUACUGGCAGGCUUGAAUUCGGGAGAGGGAUGCGGAAUUCCAGGUGUAGCGGUGAAAUGCGUAGAUAUCAGGAGGAACACCUAUUGCGAAGGCAGCUCGCUGGGACGUAACUGACGCUGAGACGCGAAAGCGUGGGGAGCAAACAGG
This 253-nucleotide ribosomal RNA is filed under the name uncultured bacterium. RNAcentral's name for it is "partial 16S ribosomal RNA". It matches the Rfam family "Bacterial small subunit ribosomal RNA", at positions 524 to 776 of the family's 1533-position model. The record is from RNAcentral.